Long non-coding RNA from Magnolia sinica, 333 nucleotides. RefSeq lists it as uncharacterized. The transcript is spliced from 3 exons. The record is from RefSeq and is a predicted model, not a curated record. Lineage: Eukaryota; Viridiplantae; Streptophyta; Magnoliopsida; Magnoliales; Magnoliaceae.
AUAGAAAUUGAAAUCCAUGAUCAAGGAUCCAUCUUCAACUCAAUCUAAUCCCUCUAUUGAAGAAGAUGAAUAGGGUAUGAUGGCCAACGAGCUCAGAUUCAUAAAUUAAUGGAUGGGUUUGUGCAAGUCUUUUCACGAAAUGGCGAAGAAACAGCGUAUAGAUUUCCAAAUUUGGUGAAUAUAGUCAAGGAAUCAUGUAAGCCUGCUACCAUGACUUUCAUAUUGGAUGCAGAGUUGCAGUGGAUAGAAAUAAUGGAAGCAAGCUGAUGGCCUUCCAACAACUAUCCUUGCAAGAGAGAGGGAGUAAAGAUUCCUUGAUUACAAUGGAUAGCA